CAGCAGCCGCGGGAAUACAGAGGGUGCGAGCGUUAAUCGGAAUUACUGGGCGUAAAGCGCGCGUAGACGGUUUGGUAAGUCAGAUGUGAAAUCCCUGGGCUCAACCUGGGAACUGCAUUUGAUACUGCCUGGCUAGAGUAUCGAAGAGGGAAGUGGAAUUUCCGGUGUAGCGGUGAAACGCGUAGAUAUCGGAAGGAACACCAGUGGCGAAAGCGACUUCCUGGUCGAAUACUGACGCUCAUGCACGAAAGCGUGGGGAGCAAACAGGAUUAGAUACCCGUGUAGUCCCUGUCUCUUAUAC
RNAcentral lists this ribosomal RNA (301 nucleotides) under uncultured bacterium. RNAcentral's name for it is "partial 16S ribosomal RNA". It matches the Rfam family "Bacterial small subunit ribosomal RNA", at positions 509 to 807 of the family's 1533-position model. The record is from RNAcentral.